Molecule: transfer RNA, 67 nt
Filed under: Marmota monax (woodchuck)
Lineage: Eukaryota; Metazoa; Chordata; Mammalia; Rodentia; Sciuridae
Description: tRNA.Ala
Source: RNAcentral
GGUUGUAGCUCAGCGGUAGAGCGCUUGCCUAGCACACGUGAGAUCCUGGGUUAGAGCCUCUGCACCA